RNA transcript from Carya illinoinensis, 3115 nucleotides. It is a transcript of the gene named photosynthetic NDH subunit of subcomplex B 3, chloroplastic, with no coding region annotated. The record is from RefSeq and is a predicted model, not a curated record. NCBI's taxonomy places the organism in Eukaryota, Viridiplantae, Streptophyta, Magnoliopsida, Fagales, Juglandaceae. The transcript has 7 exons.
AGAGAUUCAUGUCGGUUAGAUACCUCUAUCUUCGACUGGGGCAGCUGCUCCUUAAAACGAGAAGACAACAGCAAGAAAGCGAAUACUAAUAUAUAUAAUAUAAUGGCUUCCCUGAGUUUCACUUCCUCUUCUUUCCGGCCACCGGAGUUAUCCUUUGGCACCGGAAAUUACGGGAACACCAUCAAGCUCCACCGCCGAAAGAAAUCCAUCUCAGUCCCGUUCGCUGCAAAUUCGCCUGAAGAAUCAUUGCCGAUUCCACCCGAAAAGCCUGAAAUCGAACUCGAUUUCAUUGGGCCGAAGCCUGGGAACGACGGCUCGUAUCCGGUGGAGAAAGCCAAAGCUAUCAGUGGAGAGAAGCUGCUGAGGAACAUCAUGUUGGAUAAUAAAAUCGAGCUUUACGCCACGUAUGGAAAAGUGAUGAAUUGUGGUGGUGGUGGAAGCUGUGGAACUUGCAUUGUGGAGAUUAUUGAUGGAAAGGAUCUUUUAAAUGAAAGAACAAGUACAGAGCUUCGGUAUCUGAAGAAGAAACCUGAAUCUUGGAGGCUUGCUUGUCAAACUAUUGUGGGAAAUAAGGAAAAUUCUGGCAAGGUAGUGAUUCAGAGGAUACCCCAGUGGAAGAAGUAAUUAAGAGCCGCGCCCCACUGCUAUUUUUUAAUGAAACCAAUUAUUUAUUGCAGAAACGGAUGCAUUAUUAAGUUAAAAAUAUGCAAACACCCAAGACUGGUAGCCUUUGACUAGCGGCGGAAAAAGGAAGGAAAAUUAGGUAUCAUCUAUGAGAGCGAACUACCAAAAUCAGCUGAAGGCACAAAAGGAAAGGGGCACGACAGCCUUGCAUCCUCAAAGGGAAGUAUGGCUUUUACCUUAACAAAAUAAAUGGCUAGUCUAACACGCCUUGUGUUGACAAAAGUUGUCUGUAAAAUAUUAUUUUAUUUGAAUUUUGAGUUUUCCAAAAAUUUGAGUUUUUGAAAAAUAUCAUAAUACUAUAAGAGAUGUUUGCCAAGAAAAUGAGAAGGGGGGUGGGGGACCAUGAUAAACCCGAUCGAGCUUCCUAGAAUUUAAGGAUUCACGGGUGCAAAUGAAUGGAGCCACGGCUAAAACAGUCGAAAAGGGACUGCACAUUUCUGCCUUCGGCUUUACUUUUCUCCUUUAAGCCCAUCUGAAAGGGACAAAAGCCUGCAACUAUAAAGAGCCCCUUAACCCAGCUACGAUACCAAUUUGAUGCCCCCUAGCUCUAACUAUUCAUACAGAAAGCACAUGGUCCCUAAACAACUUGUCCAAACAAACACAUGCUACAAAGACUUUUAUCCCUAUACCAGAUUACUUUAAAUUCUUUGGAAUUGAUUUUGGAAUUUCAAUCUACACAAUGUGCAUGUGCAUGAGUUUUGCUGCUUAUGGCCAAAAGUCUUUCAAGGAGCCUCUCGCGUUUCUGAUUCAUGGAAAGUUGGUGGCUUUUUUGGUCUUUGACACUUUGUUUUUGUUUUUUUAUUUAAAAUGAGUUAUAAAGUAAUUGUAAAAUAAUUAUAGGUUUAGCAUUAUCCUAGUAGAAAAAUGUAAACUUAAGAGCAUUGGUAAACUAUAUGGUAUGUAUAAGAUUUUACAAUAUUGCAUCCUGAGCUCUUAAGAGCAUUGCCUUUGUGCAUUGAUUGUGGGGGCAUGGGAGAAAGUUCUUGUUCAAUCAUCCUUCUAAAAUAUCAUCUUCAACAAUUUUAGGGACAAUCGGCUUGCGUCCCCACCGUGGCACAGGCAAGCCGAUGUUAUAAAAUAAAAUAAAAUAAAGUAAGUCUUAAAACAAAGAGAAAUCGAUUUUAUUCUUUCUCAUGCCAAACCUUACCCAUAUCCAUCCUUGAUAGAGCUUGUGAAGGAUUCCGUGGGUUGUGGUCAUGGGUGAAGGAUUAUGUGGAUUGUCGUCGUGAGAGAAGGAUACCGUGGAUUGCAGUUGCCAUUGUCGAUCUCUGAAACCUUUAUGCUCCAUGUUGCCAUUGUUGAUCUCUGAAGUUGUAAACGAUUUCUUUUUAUUUCUAUUUUAUAUCGGCCUUAUUUUUUGUCACAAUACUUGUGGGCUUUCGGCAGUUUUCUCUGCGGUAUAUUAAUUUGGUUUUGCUCCUCACCUUCGCAUUUUACUAUUUUAGGAACUUGACUCUAAUGAUCAUUGACCAUCAGCUAGCUAGUGGCCUUGAUCUUGAAUGGCUCAUGGGAUAUAUGUGAGCCGAAAUCUCUUUUUCUCGAUCUUUCUAUAAAAGACAAUAAUUUAUAAGGGUAUUGGUCCUGCCUUUUAGUUUCCUUAAUGAUUUUUUCAAGAUCAGUGUUGCACCAAUGUCUCCUUUUUUGACAAAUUAAGGCUUGUAAUUUAUUCAAAAAAACAUACAAAUGAUCAUAAGCUUAUACUUCUUAGUUUAGAAUCUAAUAUUGGUAAUCAAAAUCACAGUUCAACCUCCGCUCAGGCCAAGUCAUUUCUCAAAUCUAAGUAAAGCAGUGCCCUAAACAUUACAAUCUUUAUUUUUUUUUUCUUAGUUUUGAUGAUUUUUAGGGUCUUUCUUCUCUUGGGAAACUAAUAUGAGUUGAUCAUGAGUGUUAGGCAUGGUUUUCUUUCUUAGUCACAUGAUUUCGAGGAGAAGACGCUAGCUGACUAGGUUGUGGCUUCAUGCUCUGGUUCGUGGGUUCAAGGAGAAGAUGCUGGCUGACUGGGUUGUAUGAAAGACGCUGGCUUUGUAUGAAAGACGAUGGGGAUGUUGGAAGACGAAUCAACUUCUAGAGGGAACAAGGGUUAUGAAUCUACCGCAGCUUUUUUAUGGGGAAUUAAAAUACACAAUGACAUCAUUUUGUAAUGUGCAACGUAGGAUAUGAUGCCGCAAAGGGGACGCAGCUCAGUUGUAUAUAGACUUCUUCAUCUUUUAUAGCCUUCUAGCGCUUCACUCCAUUUCACCUCAUAACCUUUAAAAGCAUGGGUUUGGUAAAGUACAAAGAAAAAGGUGUACAGGAGAGAGGAUUAUUGAAGGCUCCAGCUUUGAAAACAAGAUGGAUUCUGCAUAAAUAUAAGGGCAUGUUGGCUAAUAAUAACUGUCCUUUUUAGUGGGUUGAAAAACCACACCCAGAUGAUUCUUUUGAAACACAGCCC